RNAcentral lists this long non-coding RNA (552 nucleotides) under Pongo abelii (Sumatran orangutan). RNAcentral's name for it is "lincRNA". The record is from RNAcentral. Lineage: Eukaryota; Metazoa; Chordata; Mammalia; Primates; Hominidae.
CUUCGCAGUCACGAACUCGCCAGCAGCUAGCAGCACUGACUAGUAGGAGGGCCCGCCGGAGGAGAGGAAGCCCCAGAGAGAUUGGUAAGGGUGAUUUCCCAGGAAGACGCAGUGUGCUCUGACUUCUGUGACAGCGAGCAGCGGGACCAAUGGAUGUCCAGAUGCUGGCAAUGAGACAUGCUCUGGAGUCAGAAGACGGCGAAAAGAGAAGCAGAAGCCUCGGUGGCAAGAGUCCGAAGGACGCAAUCACUGUAACCUGUGGAUUGUACUGCAGUAGGAAACUAUCCUAGCGAGGCUCUGCUUUGCCCCAGCUUCAAGCUGGAAAGGAGGAGAACAUGAAACGUUGCUUGAAGACAAUGGCCGAGACAGCAGGUCCCACCCUGCACAGCCACCAGCAUCUCUCCCCUCAGCCCUGUCUCCUCUUCUGCAGUUGGGAUCUGCACAUUUAAGCCCCAAAUUGUCCUGUGAAGUGAAGUAUGAUCGGACAGCCUCUUUUCAGCUUUUAUGAAAAUGGAGACAGAGGAAUUGUGGCUCUUGCCAAGGUCACAGGAU